Molecule: ribosomal RNA, 450 nt
Filed under: uncultured bacterium
Lineage: Bacteria
Description: bacterial SSU rRNA
Rfam family: Bacterial small subunit ribosomal RNA
Source: RNAcentral
GUGGGGAAUAUUGGACAAUGGGCGAAAGCCUGAUCCAGCCAUGCCGCGUGUGUGAAGAAGGUCUUCGGAUUGUAAAGCACUUUAAGUUGGGAGGAAGGGCAGUAAGUUAAUACCUUGCUGUUUUGACGUUACCGACAGAAUAAGCACCGGCUAACUUCGUGCCAGCAGCCGCGGUAAUACGAAGGGUGCAAGCGUUAAUCGGAAUUACUGGGCGUAAAGCGCGCGUAGGUGGUUUUGUAAGUUGGAGAUGAAAUCCCCGGGCUCAACCUGGGAACUGCCUCCAAAACUGCAUGACUAGAGUACGGUAGAGGGUAGUGGAAUUUCCUGUGUAGCGGUGAAAUGCGUAGAUAUAGGAAGGAACACCAGUGGCGAAGGCGGCUACCUGGACUGAUACUGACACUGAGGUGCGAAAGCGUGGGGAGCAAACAGGAUUAGAAACCCGGGUAGUCC